CCUACGGGCGGCAGCAGUGGGGAAUAUUGGGCAAUGGAGGCAACUCUUACCCAGCAAUGCCGCGUGAAUGAAGAAGGUCUUCGGAUUGUAAAGUUCUUUAAUUGGGGACGAAAAAAAUGACGGUACCCAAGUAAUAAGCCGCGGCUAACUACGUGCCAGCAGCCGAGGUAAUGCGUAGGGGGCAAGCGUUGUACGGAAUGACUGGGCGUAAAGGGUGUGUAGGCGGUGUAGCAAGUUAGAAGUGAAAUACCAAGGGCUUAACCCAGGCGCUGCUUCUAAAACUGCUAUACUUGAGUGCAGGAGAGGAAAGUGGAAUUCGUAGUGUAGCGGUGGAAUGCGUAGAUAUCAGGAGGAACAUCAGUGGCGAAGGCGACUUUCUGGACUGUAACUGACGCUGAGGCACGAAAGUGUGGGGAGCAAACAGGAUUAGAUACCCCAGUAGUC
Molecule: ribosomal RNA, 444 nt
Filed under: uncultured bacterium
Lineage: Bacteria
Description: partial 16S ribosomal RNA
Rfam family: Bacterial small subunit ribosomal RNA
Source: RNAcentral